Molecule: ribosomal RNA, 468 nt
Filed under: uncultured bacterium
Lineage: Bacteria
Description: partial 16S ribosomal RNA
Rfam family: Bacterial small subunit ribosomal RNA
Source: RNAcentral
GACGAACGCUGGCGGCGUGCUUAACACAUGCAAGUCGAACGGAAAGGCCCUGCUUUUGUGGGGUGCUCGAUUGGCGAACGGGUGAGUAACACGUGAGUAACCUGCCCCUGACUUUGGGGUAACUUCAGGAAACUGGGGCGCUUACCGGAUAGGAGCUCCUGCUCCGCGGUGGGGGAUGGUAAGAUUCGGCGGUUGGGGAUGGUCUCGCGGCUUCUCAGCUUGUUGGUGGGGUAGUGGCGGACCAAGGUUUUGAAGGGUAGCCGGCCUGAGAGGGUGACCGGCGACAUUGGGACUGAGAUACGGACCAGACUCCUACGGGAGGCAGCAGUGGGGAAUAUUGCACAAUGGGCGGAAGCCUGAUGCAGCAGCGCCGCGUGCGGGAUGACGGCCUUCGGGUUGUAAACCGAUUUCGCCGGUGACGAAGCGUGAGUGACGGUAAUGGGUAAAGAAGCACCGGCUAACUACGUG